Molecule: non-coding RNA, 104 nt
Filed under: uncultured Pelagophyceae
Lineage: Eukaryota; Pelagophyceae
Source: RNAcentral
ACACACAAUGUGUCCUCCUUGCGACACUCGAGCAAUAUGAAGAGAAUCUUAGCCGUGGCGGCGAGUGUAGUCGCAGUGACGACGGCGCUUCAGGGUCCAUGCGG